UAAAGUUUUUCAUGACACAUUUUGGCAGGGAUAACGAGAGCCCGAAGAAAAUUUGUCAAAAUCUUUUCAUUUUCUUAGUUUGAUUUUACAAAGUUUCUCAUUGAAUCUCUUGUUUGUUCUUGGAUUUCAUGGAUUUCUUAAUUGUCUUUUCCCUUAUUAUUUUUUUCUUGAUUAUGAUGGCUGAUUCAAUUCUCUUGGGAGAGAAAUGCCCAUCGUCUUUAUUAAAAAUAUCAUAUUUAUGAAAUAGAGUUUCCUUCGUUAUGUAUGCAAUGUUCCAAUUCUUGAGAUUCUGUUAUGAAGGCCAUAUCAAAGGGGGAAAAGGUUGGAGUUGAAACUGUGAAAGGCGAGACCGUGGCUGCAUCUUCUUCAGGUUUUCGAACAGGUAACCUUAGAAAUUAGAAGUCUCUUUUUAUUGUUAAUCAAUCCCUUCAAUUUUUUCCAUCUAAAGGAGAUUGUGAAAUGCAUUGUCAAGCCCCCUAAGAAUGUUCUUGAUGAGGGCUUGCUCAAUAGAAGAAUGUUAUAGUUGGGCAAUUUGUGGGAAAGGCUUCAAACUUUAGCCAAUUCCAGAAAUUAGCAAAUAUUUUUAUAGGGAAGAAAAAGCGAUGUUGAUAUCAAACUUGUUAGCCCAAGUAUCUAUUUGAUUGCUCCUAAUAGAAAAAAAAAACUCGAGAUUGGAUUCUUGAAUCAAAACAAUGGCAUAUUCAACAUAAAGCUAUAAUACUCUGUAAAUGAAAGCCAGAAAUGUACUCUUAACAAUUUGAUUUGGAAGACGACUGUUAUUUAGAUUAAACUUGGAAACUUAUCUUUUGAGCAUAGGAGUAUGGUGGAAAAUAGGCCUUAUAUUAUCGUCGGGGAUUUCAAAGCAAUGUGCAGUCCCCAAAGAUAGUUUAGAUUUUAAUGGCUUUAAAACUUUUACAUUAGACAUGAAUGAUUUCAUUGAUUGUAUGGAAAAUUUGAAGGUUAUUGAUCACCCUUUUAUAGGGACUCUGUUUACUUGCUGUAACAUGAGACUGGAAUCACCUCUCUUUAGGAAGUUGGAUAGAGUAUUGGUUAAUUCAGCUUGGCACUCAUGUUUUCCAGUCUCAGUAGUAGAGUUUCUUCCUCUUGAUGUAACUAACCAUUCACUGAGCUUGGUCAAGCUUAAAUUUGUUAUUUCAUGUCCUUUAAAGCCUUUUAAAUAUUUCCCUUUUUGGGAUGGUCACCCUGAUUUUGGCAAGAUUGUCUAGCAAUCUUGGUGUGAGCCUAUCCAUAGGGACCCAAUGCAACGAUUUUUCUGCAAGCUAAAAAGACUCAAAGUUGUCAUAAACGAGUUUAAUAUCACUCAUUUUAGUAAAGUAUCAAGGAGAGUUGGAAAAUUUGCAAAUGAAAAUGUUAAGUAAACCUACUAAAACACUGAUUAUGACAGAGAAAAAGGUUGCGAGUGAACUUGCAUUCUUUUAGUAACAAGGGAAAAAAUUUUAUAGGCAAAAAUCAAGAGUGCAAUGGGUGAAGGAGGGGGAUCAAAAUACUUCAUUCUUUUCAUAAUCAAGUUCAAAUUAGGCUACUAUUCAAACUCUCUUUGACUCUACUGGUAAGAAAUUGGAUGCCGUUUAUGCCAUUUCUAAGGAGGUGAUUUGUUUUUUCAAGGAUACAUUAGGCACUAAGGAUCCAAGAGCUACUGAAUUUCAGAUGAGUUAAUGGUUGUUUAUUACAAGUUUAAGUGGUCAAAGAAUUGAAGAAUGCUCUUAUUUCUCCUAUCACUAUUAAGGAAAUUAAAAUUACAAUUUUCUCUAUGCACCCUUAAAACCUCCUAUCCCUGAUGGUUACUUAGCUGGAUUUUUUCGAAAAACUUGGAGGAUUGUGGGUUCAACCUUUGUGGAAGUUGUUAGGUUUUUUUUUCACUACUGGAAAAAUGCUGACUUUCUUUAAUUCCACAAUCAUUAUGUUAGUUCCCAAGGUUCCAAAUCCUAUUUACAUGACAAACUUUAGGCCAAUUUUCUACUGCUCCACUUUUUACAAAUGUGUAAGAGAGAUUCUAGCUAAUCAGCUUAAGAAAUGUUUUCCUAGCAUCAUCACUUAACCAAUGAGCUUUCAUGAAGGGGGGGAUAUUUGAAUGAUAAUAUUUUAUUAGCACGAGAAUUGGUUAACAGUUACAGUAGAAAGACUAUUUCACCAAUAUGUACACUAAAAGUGGACUUAAAGAAGGCUUUUGAUUCCUGAAGUUUGGAUUUCCUGUUACAAAUGCCAAGGGUUCUUGGAUUUUCGAAGAAGUUUAGGAAGUGGAUUGAAGCUUAUAUCACUAAACCAAAGUAAUCAGUGGCUUUUAAUGGUGGUUUAAUGGUAUAUAUUUCUAGUAAAAAAAAAAAGGGUUAAACAAGGUGAUCCCUUGUUCCCUUAUUUGUUCAUUUUGGGCAUGAAUGUUUUGUCUUGCCUUCUUAAUGCAACUGGGAAGCACAAAAUUUUGGACUCUCCUAAGUGCAAAAAUUUUUGUCGCUCCCAUCUUUGUUUUGCGAAUGACAUAUUGGUUUUCACCAAAGGGAAUUUGGCAUCUAUACAAGCAAUUAAAAAUGUUCUUGGCUUAUUUUGUCAAGUCUCUAGACUACAAAUAAACUCAUCUAAGAGUGAAUUAUUUAACACUAGUCUAAAUAAUUUUGAGGUGUAAGAAAUUGUAGAACCUACUGGCAUGAAAUUUGGAACUUUCCUAGUUAGGUACCUUGUUGUACCAUUAGUAACUAGGAAUUUGAGAUAUAGUGACUUCCACCCUCUUGUUGAAAAGAUUACAAGUAGGACUAAAAGUUGGGUUGCUAGAAAUUUGACCUUUGCGUGAAGGCUUCGGUUUUUUCAAUCAGUUGUGUUUUGCAUACAAUUUUUUUUGUGUAGAAACUUGUUGCCUUCAAAGGUUAUAAAGAAGAUCACUUAGAUCUCUGGUCAAUUUAAAAACCUUUGGAGGAUUUUUACAACUGCUGGAUCUCUAUGGUGGCUUGGUUUCAGACUUGUGUCUUCGAAUUCAAUUGCAAGCCAACUGUGCUUGAACUAUAAUGAAAUUCCUUAAGCUAAGAAAUUUAACUCCAUUGCGUAGUGAGGUGCAAUGAGGAAUUCUAAAAUGGAAAUAGAUUGGGGAGGGAUAUAAAACCGUCAAGGCAUGGGAUCUUAUCAGACAGAAAAGGGAGGGUACCAUGGCAUAGACUGAUCGGAGGUCAACUUUCUAUUCUUAACAUUUUUUUAUAUCAUUGUUAGCCAUGUAGGAUCGACAGGAGUAGGCUUUGCUCUUAGGGUUUUCAAAAUUUUAAUGAUUGCAUUUUGUGUGGAGAAGCUUUGGAAACUAGAGAUCAUCUUUUCAUUACAUGCUUUUUUUUUCUAAGCUGUUAUGGGAUGAUAAAUUGAAUGCAUGUGGUUUCAUUGAUGUUCAUUGUACUUGGCAUAAUAGAAUUCAAUGGUUAAUGGUAAAUGCAAAGGUGAAGUUUUAAAGCCACCAUCCUUAGGUGGUUUUGAAAGAAAGAAAUGGAAGAAUUCAUAGUAGAAAGUAAAGGUAAUCUCAAGCUCUUCUUUUGCCAGUGAAAGGUUUUAGAGAUACAGUUGAAAGGUUUUGUUAGGGAUACGAUAAUUGGCAGUAAGAUGGCCGAAAGAUCUCUUAGCCAACAAACUUUAAGCACAAAAUGGGGAUGGAGUGUAAAUAGAACAUGGAUGUUUUUUUUUUUUCAUUCUUUUGGUUACAGUACCCUACUUUUUGUAAUGUUGUAAUUAGACUUGAGUCAUUAUUUAUCUAAAAAAAUAUGUGCAACCAAUGUUUAUGUUUAGUUUUGAUAUUUAUCUUUUAAAUUGAAAAAAAAUUAUCUUGAUAAAAAAUCAAGGUUUUUUUUUUUAAUUUUAUGUUUUUACUAUUACAAAUAUAUAUAUAUAAGCAAUUAUAACAUGGAAUAAAUUAGUAUAAGACAGACAUGACAAGCAAAAAAUAAAAAAGAACUGAAAAAAAAAAUCAUCCAAGGCAUACACACAUGUUGGGAUUGAAAAACCGAAUAUCAUAACUAAACAUGGUGAAUCUCAAACCUAUAUGCUCAAGGGUCUAAAACUUUUGCCUUAACCAAGCUUCAAGGUUUAAUUGUGUUCAGGUUAAAAUAAUUUAGUUGUUUAAUUAACUUAGGUUUACAUUAAAUUAGAAUUAAUUUAAAUAUUUUAGUUUUAAGAUCCUUAAGCACCUAGGUUCGAAUCCCACUAUAUAUAAUUAUCAUGUGUGGGUUAUCCUCCAAACUUACUUUGGUUUCAAUGUAAUUAUGAUUUGUGUUGGUUUUAUUCUAAUUAUAGUUGCUGGAGCUUACGCUAUGUAAUUAGAUUAUAAUUGUACUUAUAAUUAGAUUUUUUUUUUAAAAAAAAAUAAAAAGGAAAAGGGAAAGUUUUGAGAUAUUGACUGUGGAAGUGGAUAUUUUAUUUAUUUAUUUUUUAAUUUAACAAAUACUGAUGCAUGAAAAAAUUUCAACUAACUUGUUUACUACUUGUAUAUCAAAGAAUUAUGUAUUAAAUUAAUGGGUUUGGAUUAUAAAAUAGGUUUCGGCUGUCAAAAUUAAGUUGACUUUUGUUUUGUUGUUUAGCUAAAUGGGCUUAGAUUGUCUAGCUAAAUGGGUUAGGUCUGUCAAAACUAAAUUGAUAUUAGCAAUUCAAAUUAUCUGAUGCUUUUAGUUUCAGUUUAAUUUUUCAAGAAAAACUUUUAAAAUUACAACUACAAACAAACUAUUCCUUUUUAAAGAUAAAUUUGUAUUUUCUAUAGAUUAAAGAUAAAAUUCUUAUAUAUAUAUAUAUAUAUUAUAAUUUUUUUAUACAAUAUUAAAAGUAAGGAUGAGGUAACACAAUUUGAACUCGUGUUCAACAAGUGUCUUAUAAAAAUUUUAACCAUUACUUCAUUCAAGUCAAGGCUUAUAUAUAUUAUAAAUAUUAACUCUUAACUAAUUUUUUUAAAAUAUUAGAAUAAAAAGUGUUUUAAAUAUUACAAAUGAUUAUGGAUGAGUUUUGGAUUUGAAUACUUUCAAACAUAUUCAAACCAUUUUGAAUCAAUUUAGAUAUACAUUUUUUAUUUUAAUUAAAUUAAAUGUAAACGUUUAAAUUUUGAAUUAUUUCCAUUUCAUCCCUGCAAGUGAAAAUUGUAUAAUCAUGUUGUUUUCUAAAAAAUAGCUUAAUUGUAAAAGAAAUAUGCAGGCAGUAGCAGAGUUAAAUUAAAGAAAAGUCGUGGUUUAUGAGAAAGAAAA
This 5216-nucleotide long non-coding RNA is filed under the name Gossypium barbadense (sea-island cotton). Its description in RNAcentral is "long non-coding RNA (GBAR_LNC011734)". Lineage: Eukaryota; Viridiplantae; Streptophyta; Magnoliopsida; Malvales; Malvaceae. The record is from RNAcentral.